Molecule: non-coding RNA, 146 nt
Organism: Pseudonaja textilis
Lineage: Eukaryota; Metazoa; Chordata; Lepidosauria; Squamata; Elapidae
Source: RefSeq, a predicted model, not a curated record
UUUAUACCCUCUUCAACAUUAUAUAACACAUCUUGUUUUCCAAAUCAAAAAUACAUAGAAUCCCAUAGGAAAGUUGUGGGUCCUUCCACAAAAAUCCCCCCACUUGACAUUGGAAGAUUAUCAACAUUCUUUAUUCAGAUUUAUCU